AGAGUUUGAUCAUGGCUCAGAACGAACGCUGGCGGCAUGCCUAAUACAUGCAAGUCGAACGAGAAAGUCAGCAAUGAUGAGUAAAGUGGCGCACGGGUGAGUAACACGUAGGUGACCUGUCGAGUAGAGUGGAAUAACAGGGAGAAGUCUCUGCUAAUACCGCAUAAGAUGAAUAAAGUUGAAAUUAAUUCAUGAAAGAUGGCCUCUCUACAAUGCCAUUGCUAUUUGAGGGGCCUGCGGGCCAUUAGCUAGUUGGUGGGGUAAUGGCCUACCAAGGCGAUGAUGGCUAGCCGGUCUGAGAGGACGAUCGGCCACACUGGAACUGAGACACGGUCCAGACUCCUACGGGAGGCAGCAGUAGGGAAUAUUGCGCAAUGGGGGCAACCCUGACGCAGCAAUGCCGCGUGAGUGAAGAAGGCCUUCGGGUUGUAAUACUCUGUCCUUGGGGAAAAAUGAUUUAAUAGUAAAUAGCUAUUGAAAGUGAUGGUACCCAAGAAGAAAGCACCGGCUAACUUCGUGCCAGCAGCCGCGGUAAUACGAAGGGUGCAAGCGUUGUUCGGAUUUAUUGGGCGUAAAGGGUGCGCAGGCGGAUCAGCAAGUCAGGUGUGAAAUCUCGGGGCUUAACCUCGAAAUGGCGCCUGAAACUACUAAUCUUGAAUACUGGAGAGGGAAGGGGAAUUUCUCAUGUAGGGGUAAAAUCCGUAGAUAUGAGAAGGAACACCAGAGGCGAAGGCGCCUUCCUAGACAGAAAUUGACGCUGAGGCACGAAAGCGUGGGGAGCAAACAGGAUUAGAUACCCUGGUAGUCCACGCCGUAAACGAUGAGCACUAGUUGUGGUCGGAAUUAACCCUGACCGUGACGUAGCUAACGCAUUAAGUGCUCCGCCUGGGGAGUACGGUCGCAAGACUAAAACUCAAAGGAAUUGACGGGGGCCCGCACAAGCGGUGGAUCAUGUGGUUUAAUUCGAAGCAACGCGCAAAACCUUACCUGGGUUUGAAAUCCUACGAAUUUUUCAGAGAUGAAGAAGUGCCCUUCGGGGAAUGUAGAGACAGGCGCUGCAUGGCUGUCGUCAGCUCGUGUUGUGAAAUGUUGGGUUAAGUCUCGCAACGAGCGCAACCCCUGUCCUUAGUUGCCAGCAUUAAGUUGGGCACUCUAAGGAGACUGCCAGGGUUAACCUGGAGGAAGGUGGGGAUGACGUCAAGUCCUCAUGGCCCUUAUGUCCAGGGCCACACACGUGAUACAAUGGGUAGUAUAAAGGGAAGCAAACCUGCGAGGGGGAGCCAAUCUCAAAAAGCUACUCUCAGUCCGGAUUGGAGUCUGCAACCCGACUCCAUGAAGUUGGAAUCGCUAGUAAUCGCUGAUCAGCACGCAGCGGUGAAUACGUUCCCGGGCCUUGUACACACCGCCCGUCACACCAUGGGAGUUGAUUCAACCUUAAGACGUGGCCUUAACCUGCAAAGGGAGGGAGCGUCCACGGUGGGGUCGAUGACUGGGGUGAAGUCGUAACAAGGUA
This 1513-nucleotide ribosomal RNA is filed under the name metagenome. Its description in RNAcentral is "bacterial SSU rRNA". It matches the Rfam family "Bacterial small subunit ribosomal RNA". The record is from RNAcentral.